UGCAAUAUCUGUAUUAUAAUCAGCCUUUUUAGUAUCUAUUUUUUUCUUCAGAAAGAAAAUCAAAUCCACUGUGACACUGAAGUCCUAUGACAGUGGAAUUCUACUGGAAAAUAAAAUGCGAGGAGGCAGCAUUGCAGUGGGAUGCAAAGACGUAAUUGCAGAGUCCAGGGAAGUAAAAGAUGUCCCCAUCAAAAGUCUUGAAGUGGAAAUUGCCCCACGUACUGCAUACGCGGCCAUUGUGAGCAGGGUUGAAGGCUGUGGAUUGAAAACUCUUUAUGCUGGAUCCAAAUUCAGAGAUGAGUUACUGUGAAAAUCUGGACCCUACAUUUUUACUUUGGCAGUCUGCUGAACUAGAAUCACAUCCAUACACUGCUGAGUCAUCCCAUUGUCAGUUAUGGGUCUGAAUCUGCUCUCACGUGCUCCAGUCUGAAUCGGAAGUAAUUCCACUGAACUCAAGCAACCUAACACCAGUUUAAGGGAAAGGAGAAUCAGGGUGAUCAUGUUUGCGGGAUUCAAUCUCAAAUGUGUUACUCCAAUUUUGCUCCAGCUUAACUCCAUUCACAUCAUUGGAAUUACAACAGCUAAAAGUGGUGUUACAGAGUGUUGACUGUGGCCCUGUAUGUGUAUGUUCUGUGUUAAUAGAAAUCUGUCAAGACCUGUUAAUGUACUGAUCACAGAUAUGGACCUGCAAAUCCUUUCCACAAUUGUUACCUCCGAUAUUAAUAAUUUAUCAUUUUAAAAAUGUGAAUUAAUUUAUAUUUAAAGAG
RNAcentral lists this long non-coding RNA (767 nucleotides) under Chrysemys picta bellii (western painted turtle). Its description in RNAcentral is "lncRNA (ENSCPBG00000007604.1)". The record is from RNAcentral. Lineage: Eukaryota; Metazoa; Chordata; Testudines; Emydidae.